This 613-nucleotide long non-coding RNA is filed under the name Rattus norvegicus (Norway rat). Its description in RNAcentral is "long non-coding RNA NONRATT029290". The record is from RNAcentral. Lineage: Eukaryota; Metazoa; Chordata; Mammalia; Rodentia; Muridae.
UGAUCUUGUUACAGGCAGACAGAAUUGUCUGUCCUGGAAGUCGGAGUAGACCAAGAGUCAACUGGACUACAAAGUUACUAUUUCCAGACACACAAAAAGGUUGGGGAAACAUCCAACUUCAUUGUUUCCCAGGAGGACUGGAUGGCCAUUAACCUUUCUUUCUCCAGCUCUGCGCAGGCGCAAGGGCCCUACCAAGACCAAAGAGUCAGGAUCCUCUGUAGUUCCUCAAGAUCCCUUGAACUGGUUUGGAAUCUUGGUUCCUCAUAGUCUGCGGCAGGCCCAAGCCAGCUUCCGGGAUGGCCUACAGCUGGCUGCAGAUAUAGCCAGCCUCCAGACUCGCAUCAACUGGGGUCUAAGUCAGCUCCGAGGCCUCCAGAGAAAACUGAAGGAGUUGGACCCUGGGCCCGCCUGACCUGCAUCUACUUUUCGAGGCAUUGAGCAUAGCUGAUGUGGAUGCUACUGCCUUGUCUUAGGCCUUCUUUCAUAAACAGCCCCUGUCUUAGCUGAUGCCCCUCCUAGAUAUGUCCUUAGCCUGCACUGUUUCCAACUUUUCGAGGCCUGAGGUUGAGUUAUGAAGUUUGAUGAAGCAAGCUACACAGUGUUGAGAGCAACU